GUGUGGCUCAGCAGGCAGAGCGUUUCCUUGGCAUGCGAAAGGUUCCCUGGGUUCAAUCCCCACUGGCAUCUCCA
Molecule: non-coding RNA, 74 nt
Organism: Podarcis lilfordi (Lilford's wall lizard)
Lineage: Eukaryota; Metazoa; Chordata; Lepidosauria; Squamata; Lacertidae
Source: the annotation of a GenBank genome assembly